Long non-coding RNA from Onychomys torridus (southern grasshopper mouse), 388 nucleotides. RefSeq lists it as uncharacterized. The transcript is spliced from 3 exons. Lineage: Eukaryota; Metazoa; Chordata; Mammalia; Rodentia; Cricetidae. The record is from RefSeq and is a predicted model, not a curated record.
CCUGUAACUUGGAGUUUUGUAGCUGUUACCCUGCAAUGAUGGCGGCUGCUUAAACUGUUAAGGCAAAGCUUUCCAUGUGUACCUGAAUCCUCCCAUGCCUCCCCACAGCUCCAAGUGCACAAGCUGCAUGGGGCAAUCUGUUUUCGGAUGGAAGCUGCUGGAAUGAAAAGGAAAUGCUAUCCAUCCUUUUGGCUAAAUAAACUCAACCCAGGAAGUACAGCUGGUGGCGGUCUGAGGCCAUGACCUUCCUCAGGGACAACUCACCCUAAUUUAUGGCCAAGUGAACUGGAAAAUAGCAACAGUGUUUAUGGUGCUAAGGGAAGAGGCUAGAUCUGGGAACAAGAGUGAGAAGUUGUAUGUACUUGGUUGGGAAACUAGAGGAAAGGAU